Long non-coding RNA from Quercus robur (English oak), 515 nucleotides. RefSeq lists it as uncharacterized. NCBI's taxonomy places the organism in Eukaryota, Viridiplantae, Streptophyta, Magnoliopsida, Fagales, Fagaceae. The record is from RefSeq and is a predicted model, not a curated record. The transcript has 2 exons.
AAUAGAUGUUGGGUUUGAUCAAGCACAAGUUCCUUUGGGUGACAUAACAAAUAAUUAUGAUGCUCACAUGAAUUUUCUUGGUAUGUGAUUUUGAUGUUGCCAAUGCUAUGGACGUUGUAAAAAGAGAAGAGGAGAUAGGCCUUUGUUAAUGCCGCCAAUGUUACAUUUUUCUUUUGUUAAGAUUGUCCUUGUUGUAAAAGAGAAGAGGGGAUAGGCCAUUGUUAAUGCUACCAAUGUUACAUUUUUCUUUUGUUAAGAUUGUCUCUGUUGUAAAAGAGAGGAGGGGAUAGACCAUUGUUAAUGCUGCCAAUGUUACAUUUUUCUUUUGUUAAGAUUGUCUCUGUUGUAAGAGAGAGGAGGGGAUAGACCAUUGUUAAUGCUGCCAAUGUUACAUUUUUCUUUUGUUAAGAUUGUCCCUUUGUAGAAUAGGGGAUAGGCCUUUGAUAUGUAGCAUUUUCCCUUCUUUAAAACAAUUGUACCUUGUGCAAAGUUCAAACUUCUAGAUUUUAAAUCAA